GUCUACGGCCAUGCUACCCUGAACAAGACCGAUCUCGUCUGAUUUCGGAAGCUAAGUAGGGUUGGGCCUGGUUAGUACUUGAAUGUGAGACCACCUAGGAAGACCAAGUGCUAUAAGCA
Ribosomal RNA from Pteropus vampyrus (large flying fox), 119 nucleotides. NCBI's taxonomy places the organism in Eukaryota, Metazoa, Chordata, Mammalia, Chiroptera, Pteropodidae. The record is from Ensembl.